UAGUCUCGCACAGAUGCAUAUCAAUAAGCGGAGGAAAAGAAACUAACAAGGAUUCCCCUAGUAACGGCGAGUGAAGCGGGAAGAGCUCAAAUUUGAAAUCUUAAAGGGUUUCCCUUUACGAAUUGUAGUUUAAAGAAGUGUUUUCUGUUGAGGUUUUGGUAAAAGUUCUUUGGAAUAGGACAUCAUAGAGGGUGAGAAUCCCGUAUUUGACCUUUACUUUCAACUUUGUGAUACACUUUCAAAGAGUCGGAUUGUUUGGGAAUGCAGUCCAAAAUGGGUGGUAAAUUUCAUCUAAAGCUAAAUAUUGGCGAGAGACCGAUAGCGAACAAGUACCGUGAGGGAAAGAUGAAAAGAACUUUGAAAAGAGAGUUAAACAGUACGUGAAAUUGUCAAAAGGGAAGCGUUCGACACCAGUGUUGUUUUUCUGAAAAUCAAUUAAAGAACUGUUUAUGCUAAGCUGUUUAGACUUUAUCAGCUAUCUGUUUAGUUUUGAGCUUUUCUUUAAUGCACUUUUCAGUUAACAAGUCAACAUCAAUUUCUUUUGCUGUAAAAAAGCUUGAGGAAGGUGGCUUGAGAUUCGUCUUAAGUGUUUAUAGCCUCUUGCCUAUGCAGUCGGAGAGAUUGAGGUCUGCAGCGUAGAUCCUUCGGGGCUAAAUGCAUUUGUGCUAAGUUAUAGCAUUUUAUAGACAACUUGUUGACUAUGAUUUGUCUUGUAGCUUACUCGCUUAUGUUAUUUUACCUACGCUUAGGAUGUUGAUGUGAUACUGCGAGCA
This 773-nucleotide ribosomal RNA is filed under the name uncultured Neocallimastigales. Its description in RNAcentral is "partial large subunit ribosomal RNA". It matches the Rfam family "Eukaryotic large subunit ribosomal RNA", at positions 24 to 646 of the family's 3401-position model. Lineage: Eukaryota; Fungi; Neocallimastigomycota; Neocallimastigomycetes; Neocallimastigales. The record is from RNAcentral.